This 85-nucleotide transfer RNA is filed under the name Eubacteriales Family XIII. Incertae Sedis bacterium. Its description in RNAcentral is "tRNA-Leu". It matches the Rfam family "tRNA". From Rfam's summary of the family: Transfer RNA (tRNA) molecules are approximately 80 nucleotides in length. Their secondary structure includes four short double-helical elements and three loops (D, anti-codon, and T loops). Lineage: Bacteria; Bacillati; Bacillota; Clostridia; Peptostreptococcales; Anaerovoracaceae. The record is from RNAcentral.
GCGGCUCUGGCGGAAUUGGCAGACGCGCACGGUUGAGGGCCGUGUGGGGCAACCUGUGUGGGUUCAAGUCCCACGAGCCGCACCA